This 1864-nucleotide long non-coding RNA is filed under the name Gossypium barbadense (sea-island cotton). Its description in RNAcentral is "long non-coding RNA (GBAR_LNC000677)". Lineage: Eukaryota; Viridiplantae; Streptophyta; Magnoliopsida; Malvales; Malvaceae. The record is from RNAcentral.
AAAUUUGUUAUUUUGGCCCAUCAGUCUUUUUAAUGCCUUAUAAGGUGCUGCCCAUUGUUAACAGAUUACAUCCAAUUCUCUAAACGUAUUAUCAGACCUUUUCAAAACAGCUUUCUAGUCGGUAGAAGCACGGCAUCUUGAUUACUCAAGAAGUUCAUUCUAUGAUGAGUAUGCCGGGAAAACAGGGUGUGUCGGUGUUGAAGAUUGAUUUACACGAGGCAUAUGAUAAUCUCAUUUGAGGUUUCUUUAACUUGAAGACAGUAUUGGAAGAUUUCCGAGUACUGGAUAAAUUGAUUGAGUUGAUUAUCUUCUAUGUCCAAUAUAGUAAGAUUGUUUUGAUCUGAAUUGGGCAGGUAAUGAGUGAACUCACUCCUUAGCAAGGGCUGUGACAUGGAGACCCACUUUCCCUCUACUUACUCAUUAUGGUUGUACAGGCCCAAUUUCGCCCGGCCCACUAAGUCAAAUAAAAUCCAAAAUAAAAUAAAAUUAAUCAGUCCAAAUUACAACAAAAUCCUAAGUCCAAGUGGCCCAAAAUCUAAAAAAAAUUUCAGCAAAAAAGAGGAAGAAGAAACCCUAGCCCCCAUGUGCGCCGCUCCCCACGUGCCUUGCCAGCACGUUCAAUGCCCGAGGCCUGCCCUCCUCGUGCCAAAACGGCAAAAAGCCGAAAUAUCCGCCUUUGACCUCGCCGACCCUGCAAAAAGGACAGAAAAAGAACCAAAACGAAACGCAACAACAGAGACAGUGUAGAAAAAGGCACAGACGCAAGCACAGAUAAUAGAAAAUAGUAGCAAACAUUUUGUAUUCGGCUAUAAAACCGAAAAAAGAACCCAUUGUAUGGACACGCAUAUUUCAGAAAUCAAAAGCAAAAUAAAAAAAAAGGGUUGAUUUUGAUUUUCUCUUCUUUUCGUUCCCUGUUCUUUUUUUUAUAUUAUUACAAAUCUAUUUUCAAGUAAAAGAAUAAAAAAGGAGGAGAGAAAACUUACCCGAAUCCGAUCUUGGCGUGACUCCGACCAUCGUCCACGGUGGAGCCAAGGCUGUUCGGCGAUGGUGCGAUGAUGGGUUUCAAAUCCCUAGCAGAGAGAAAAAGGGGAGGGGCUGCUCUCUGUUUUUAGAAAAAAAGAAAGGAAGAAAUGAAAAAUUUUAAAAAAAAUGGCUUUAAUAGCCCUGCAAAACGACCACGUUUUGCUUUCCCCCCCCCCUACGCCUCAAAACGGCGUCGUUGAGGGGGGAACUCGCGCGACCCAACCCAGGUAGCAGAGGAUCCGCGCGUUUUUAGACCAUUGGGUUAUUUACAACCCUGGUCCCUCCAAGUUCUAUCCGUCUUAAUUUUGUCCUUUUUGUUUAUUUUUUCAUUUUUUUAAAAUUUGUCCGUGGGAUUUUGCUUGGUUUUCAAUUGGGUCCUUGACCCAUCGGCCCGCUGGAACGCGGACACCUGUCCAAAUAUUGGGCUUUUUGCCCAUUUAACCCUCGGACUUCUCGCGUUUUUAAUUUUAGUCCUCAUUGUUUGUUUUAUCAUAGUUUUUUACCUAUAAUUUUAUUUUUAUCUCAAUUUAGUCCCAAAUAUGUUUGAUUUCAAUUCAUUUUGCGAAUUUGUUACUUAUUUAUUUAUUUUAAAGCCUUUCUUUUCAUACAUUAUUUAUUUUAAGUUAUUUUAUUAUUAUUAUUUACUUAAAGUCUUUCAUGUAUUAUGUAUUUAAAAUCACUUCAAACUAUUAUCCAUCUUAAGUUUAUGGAUAUUACUAUAUUAGUCAUUUUAAACUGUUUUACAUAUUUUUUUUUUAAUAUUUUUUUACGUCAUUUAUUUUUUAAACUUUUUUUAUAUAUUAUCUAUUUUAAAUUUUUUAUAUGUUAUUUAGUUAUACGG